UGGAUCCAGACUUUGAUCAUGGCUCAGGAUGAACGCUAGCUACAGGCUUAACACAUGCAAGUCGAGGGGCAGCAUGACGAUAGCUUGCUAUUGUUGAUGGCGACCGGCGCACGGGUGAGUAACGCGUAUCCAACCUGCCCUUGUCCAUCGGAUAACCCGUCGAAAGGCGGCCUAACACGAUAUGCAGUUCUCAGCAGGCAUCUAACGAGAACGAAAUGUGAAGGAGAAGGAUGGGGAUGCGUCUGAUUAGCUUGUUGGCGGGGUAACGGCCCACCAAGGCGACGAUCAGUAGGGGUUCUGAGAGGAAGGUCCCCCACAUUGGAACUGAGACACGGUCCAAACUCCUACGGGAGGCAGCAGUGAGGAAUAUUGGUCAAUGGACGGAAGUCUGAACCAGCCAAGUAGCGUGCAGGAAGACGGCCCUAUGGGUUGUAAACUGCUUUUAUACGGGGAUAAAGUGAGCCACGUGUGGCUUAUUGCAGGUACCGUAUGAAUAAGGACCGGCUAAUUCCGUGCCAGCAGCCGCGGUAAUACGGAAGGUCCGGGCGUUAUCCGGAUUUAUUGGGUUUAAAGGGAGCGUAGGCCGUUUGUUAAGCGUGUUGUGAAAUGUCGGGGCUCAACCUGGGCAUUGCAGCGCGAACUGGCAGACUUGAGUGCGCGGGAAGUAGGCGGAAUUCGUCGUGUAGCGGUGAAAUGCUUAGAUAUGACGAAGAACUCCGAUUGCGAAGGCAGCCUGCUGUAGCGUAACUGACGCUGAAGCUCGAAAGCGUGGGUAUCGAACAGGAUUAGAUACCCUGGUAGUCCACGCGGUAAACGAUGGAUGCUCGCUGUUUGCGUCUGACGUAAGCGGCCAAGCGAAAGCGUUAAGCAUCCCACCUGGGGAGUACGCCGGCAACGGUGCAACUCAAAGGAAUUGACGGA
Molecule: ribosomal RNA, 921 nt
Filed under: uncultured Bacteroidota bacterium
Lineage: Bacteria; Pseudomonadati; Bacteroidota
Description: bacterial SSU rRNA
Rfam family: Bacterial small subunit ribosomal RNA
Source: RNAcentral